GAUCUCUUAUGCUCAACUGUUUCAGCGUGCUGCUCUGUAAAUAGUAGUUUGUUGACAUAACCAAAUUUGGCUAAAAAGAAUAUAAAAUAAAUUGGUUGUGUGGCUAUGUUUGCAUAAAACUCAACUUUACCACUUGUCUUUUGACUUUCUUACGGGAGGGUUUUUUUUUUUUUCCUCCCUCGACCUUCUUUACUCUCUCUCUACAUUUCAUAUAACAAUAAAACCAAGUGCCCAUAGGCUACUGUUUUGAUCCUAUUUUUUUUCAUUUGAUUAGAGAUUGCAAAUUGAUAAAACUUGUUUUUGCUAGUUGGUAACACGAUAUUCAGUUGACUUAGCAUAUAUAUCUUAACUUGCUAUUAUACAGUGAUAUUAAUAAAAACGAUGGAAGGAUAAUUUAUUAUUCUAAGGUAGACUUCUAUGUUAGAGAGAAACAAUCACUCUAAACAUAUAUCGCAUCUUUGAAUACAUAUUGUGCUAUUCUGUUGCCUUAUAUAUUGUUGAAAUUUCUAUUAAAAAAAGAAAAGAAAAAAAAGGAGAGACGAAGCGUCACAGAAGAUAGAAGACUUAUUUUGUUCAUUAUUAUUAUUAUUAUUAUUAUUGCUCAUAUUUGAUUGCAAUUAAUGCAUUUACUACCUUGGUGUGAUAUAAAAUUUGAUUUGUCUUCUAAUGUGAAACACAUACUUGAUAUUUGCUCUUUUAUUGUAAGGCCUCAAACACCCUUGACAUUGCUCAUGUGCCCCAAAUAAAUAAAAUAAAAGGGGAUUGUAUAUUAUCUUUGAUAUGGUGAGCCUUGUAUAAUUAUAGGAAGUCUAAACUGGGGUAACACAAUCUGAUAAUGGGGUAAGGCAAUCUUGUUGUGCUGAAUGAUGGUACCAUGGUCGGGGUCGGGGUUUUCAUUUGGAAGAACUUGAAGUGCAUUUGUAAAUGGGACAUAUAAGUGUGAUUAUUCUUUGUAAUGAUCUUUCUAUGGUAUCUUGUUCUAUUGAAUCUUUGGAAUGGUUGAUAUAUGAUAUCUAAAUUUCAUAGGCAUGGAGACCCAACCUUCAACUAUGCCUCCAACUUCAACACCUAAGAGUAGUUCCCAAAAAAAUUCUCAGUAGAGUACUACUCGAGAACUUUCUUUCAUUCAAUUUAUGGUAGAGGUCAAAAAGAAUAGAGAAACUAAUAGCCAACAUAAGAUUGGGAAGAAAAAGGGACCUCCUGUGGGCUUCCAGCAAAAAAACUGUGAUAAGAUGAGUGUUGGGUGAUUGCUUUGUGGGGUCCAACCCCAUAAGGAGUGAAAAGAAAAAAACAAAAGGACCCAACAAAAUAAGAAAGGGUUAGAGAGAGAGCGAGAGAACAUAGAUUGUGUUUUAAAAAGACAAAACAAAAAGCGUUUUUUUUUUGAGACACUCUUUGCAAGCAAAGAUAGGGUUCUUUGAAGGCUUUUGGAGAGAAGAGAGUGCAUGUUUGUAGCAAGAUUUCCAUCACCAUUCUCAGGCCAUCCAAAUGCCAUUUUUGCUAUCUCUCACGCCCAACACUCGGUUGGAAAACCGGAGCAGUUGGUGUGCUUUCUAGUUGUAUCUUUAAGCCAUUGGAAGACCAUUUUUUUUGGGACUUUUUGAGGUGGAAAAAAGAUGAUCUUGUUGGUGCUUGUGAGGUAACUUUGUAUCUUCUCUAAGUUAUUGUUGUUCUCUCAUUUGAUUGUAAGCCUCAAGUUUUGGGCAAAAACUUGAGAAGAAACUAUAUUGUAACCUUGAUUUAUUCUUAAUGGAUUCCUCUCUCGGAUUUAUCCCUUGGUUUUUCCCUUCACAUUGAAAGGUUUUCCACUUUAAAUCUUGUGUUGUGAUUGUGCUUGGUGGAACUUUCCUUUCAUUUUUUUUGUGAUUUGUGAUUUCUUUUUUUGUAGGCACUUAGCAAAUUGCCCAUUUUCAGUAUUUGAAUAAACAUACAUUAUUGCUAUGUUUUUACCUUUGAUUCACACAUAAAAGGGAAUGGCAUUGCAUCCCAACAACUGGUAUCAGAGCAUUUGCACAUCAAAUGUUUGUUUUUAUUCGUGUGUGAAUCAAAGAUGGAUGCAAAUACCUUUACACGGAUGAUUAGUUUGAAUAGGGGUAAUUGGUCAAUUUGGAAGGCCAAGAUGGAAGACCUUAUUUAUUAUAGAGACCUCUAUUUGCCAAUUGAGGGGAUAGAGAAGAGGCCGGAAACCAUCACCGAUGAUGAUUGGAAGUUAGACCGGAAAGCAAUGGCUUGCAUCUGACAAUGGUUGGAUGAUAUUGUGUUCCACCAUGUAUCAACAAAAACUAAUGUAAUGUCCUUGUGGAAGAAAUAAAAUGAUUUGUAUGAGAAAAAGACAGCCGAAAAUAAGGCAUUUUUAAUUAGAAAACUUGUAAACUUAAAGUUUAAGGAGAACAGAUUGGUUGCGGAGCACUUGAAUGAAACACAAACCAUUGUAAAUCAGUUGGCGGCUAUGAAAAUGGUGCUAGAUGAUGAGUUGCAAGCAUUGUUAUUAUUGAGCUCAUUACUUGACACUUGGGAGACGCUCGUUGUAUCCCUUAGCAACUCGGCAUCCGAUGGGAUUGUUACCAUGAGCCAAGUUAUAAGUAGUUUGUUGAAUGAAGCGAUGAGAAGAAAAUCUUCAAAUUCCUCCCACUCACACGCAUUAGUCACUGAAGAAUGGGAGAGACCGAAGAAUAGAGAAAAUCAUAAUUGAAACAAAUCAAAAGGGAGAUCCAAGUCGAGAAAAGGAGUGACGUGUUACUAUUGCAAUAAGCCCAAACAUAUGGAGAAGGAGUGUCGGAAAUUCAAAAGAAAUCAAAAAGAAGGAAAAUGUGGUGAUGGAAAUAAAGAACAUCAGGAAACCAUUGCAGUUGCCUCCGAUGACAUUAUAAUAUUCUUGACGUGUGGUGAAGGUUGUGUUAGUGCAGCAUGUGAUGAUUCAAAUUGGGUGAUUGAUUCACGAGCAUCAUUCAAUGCUAAUUCAUACAGAGAUUUCUUUACCAUGUACAAGUCGAGAGACUUUGGUUCGAUAAGGAUGAGAAAUAAUAAAGUAUCUAAAAUUGUUGGAAUGAGUGAUGUUUGCAUUACUACCAAUACUGGCUACAAGUUGGUCCUCAAGGAUAUGAAAUAUGUUCCAGACGUUAGAUUGAAUCUCAUAUCAACAGGAAUGCUUGAUGAUGAAGGGUAUGAGUCACAGUUUGGCAAUGGAGUGUUGAAGUUGAAAAAAGACUAUCUUGUUGUGGCAAGAAGCAAGAAAAGCUGCUCUCUCUACAAGACUGAACAACUGUCCAAAGGAGAGGUGAACACUGCCCUUGAAGUAUCUUUAUCUGCCUUGUAGCAUCAACGACUUGGUCACAUGAGUGAGAAAGGUUUGGAGAUUCUGACGAAGAGAAAUUCUUUUCCAAGUCUAAAAGGUAUGUCCUUAACUCCUUGUGAUCAUUGUUUAGUAGGAAAACAUCAUAGAGUUUCCUUUUCACAUGCUAAAACUAAACGGGAUACUGAAAUACUUGAUUUUAUUUACUCCGAUGUAUGUGGCCCUAUGACUGUGAAAACUCUUGGUGGUGCUUUGUAUUUUGUCACUUUCAUUGAUAAUGCAUCCAUGAAAGUUUGGAGUUUUGCCAUGAAGAGCAAAGACCAAGUAUUUGAAUUUUUCAAAAGUUUCAUAUCAUAGUUGAAAGACAAACAUCAAAGUCCUUGAAAUGCCUUUACACAGAUAAUGGUGGAGAGUAAACCUCAAAGAAGUUUGAGGACUAUUGUGCCAAACAUGACAUACGACAUGAGAAGACUGUUCUUUCCACACUGCAACAUAAUGGUGUUGUAGAAAGAAUGAAUCGUACUAUAAUGGAUAAGGUUAGAAGCAUGCUUUCCUCAGCUAAGUUAGCAAAUGAGUUUUGGGGUGAAGUUAUGAAUACGACAUGCUACUUGAUAAAUCUAUCUCAUUUGGCUUCAUUGGAAGGGGAUGUGUCAUAAAGAGUGUGGACCGGCAAGGAUGUAUCCUACUCACACUUGAGAGUCUUUGGAUGUAUGGCUUUCAUACAUGUACCUAAAGAGCAUCGAAGUAAGUUACAUGACAAAGCAACCCAAUGUGUAUUUCUGGGUUAUGAAGAUGAUGAAUUUGGGUACAGGUUGUGGGAUCCCAAGGCUAAGAAGCUGCAUAGAAGCCGAGAUGUGAUCUUUCGUGAAAACCAAACACUUUUCGAUUUUGAUAAGGAGGAACUGCCAAAGAGGCUUGUAGAUGAGCUACUAGAAGCACAAGCCCUUUUACCCAUACAUAAUGAUGAUGGGCAGCAAGUUCAAGAUGAAGAUGGCCAAGUUUGAGGUGGCGAGACUCCUCAAAAUGAUGAUGUACAUGAUGAUGUUGAGCAGGGGGAGCAGCCUCCUCAAGAAGAAUGACCUAUGGUGAGAAGGUCACAAAGGGAACGAAAAACCUAAACAAAAUAUCCAUCAUUAUAGUAUGUUACACUCACUGAAAAUGGUGAACCAUAAAGUUUUAAAGAAGCUAUGGUACAUAAGCAAAAUUAACAAUGGAAGAAAGUCAUGCAAGAAGAACUUGAGUCCUUGCAUAAGAAUAAAGCCUAUGAGCUUAUUGAGCUACCAAAAGGACGAAAAGCUUUGAAGAAUAAGUGAGUAUUUAGGUUGAAAAUUGAAGAUGACAAGAAGAAAAUGAGGUACAAGGUAAGGCUGGUUGUCAAGGGAUUCGGGCAUAAAAAGGGUGUUGAUUUUGAUGAAAUCUUUUCUCCCGUUGUGACGAUGACUUCUAUUCGCACCAUCCUAGGCCUACCGGCUAGUCAAGACUUGGAGAUUGAGCAGUUAGAUGUCAAGACAACUUUCUUGCAUGGAGAUCUAAAGGAAGAAAUAUAUAUGGAAUAACCAGAAGGUUUCCUAGUGAAGGGCAAGGAGCACAUGUUAUGCAAGUUAAAGAAGAGCUUGUAUGGAUUGAAGCAAGCUCCACGGCUGGUACAAAAAAUUUGACUAUUUAAUGAUGAGUCAUGGUUUACGAGAACCACUAUAGACCACUGUGUUUACCUUAGAAAGUAUUCUAAUCUUCGUUUAUUAUUCUCAUGUUAUAUGUUGAUGAUAUGCUUAUCGUUAGUCAAGAUGCUAAUUUGAUUGACAGGUUGAAGAAAGAAUUGAACAAUGUUUUUGACAUGAAGGACUUAGGGGCUGCAAAACAAAUUUUGGGCAUGACAAUCAAGCGUGAUAGGAAGAACAAAAAGUUGUGGCAAAUUCAAGAAAGGUACAUUGAGAAGGUACUUGAAAGAUUCAACAUGAAGUAUACCAAGCCAAUCGAUACACCAUUAGCUAGACACUUCAAGUUGAGUUUCAAGUUAUCUCUAACCAGCAGUGAAGAGAAGAAAGAAAUGGAGAAGAUCCCCUAUACUUCAGCCAUAGGAAGUUUGAUGUACUCUAUAUUGUGCACAGUGCCUGAUAUAGCACAUGCCACCGGCGUAGUUAGCAGAUACUUGGUAAAUUUAGGCAAACAACAUUGGGAAGCUGUAAAAUAGAUUCUAAGGUAUCUAAGAAGCGCAUCUAAAGUUUGUCUAUGUUUUGGAAACUCAUCACCUUUGGUGGAAGGCUACUUCGGGUUACAUGUUUACGUUUACAGGAGGAGCAAUUUCUUGGCAAUCAAAGGUGCAAAAAUGUGUUGCACUCUCGAUUACAGAGGCAGAGUAUAUUGCUGCCACAGAAGCCUGUAAGGAGAUGCUAUGGUUGAAAAGUUUUCUUAUGGAGUUGGGUUUGAAGUAAAAGGAGUAUGUAGUUAGAUGUGACAGUCAAAGCGCUAUUGAUCUGAGCAAGAAUGCUGCAUUCCACUUUAGAACCAAACACAUUGAGGUGUGGUACCAUUGGAUUCGACAUGUCUUAGAAAAUAGGUUCAUGAAGAUUUACAAAAUACAUACCGACCAGAAUCUGUUAGACAUGAUGACGAAGACACAGAGCUUUGGCAGGCAUAGGUGCCAUGUGAGCAUCCAGUAUGGGGGAGCCCUCCUCAUGGGUCUGGAGGGGGAGUUUGUUGGGUGAUUACCUUGUGGGAUCCAGCCUCAUAAAGGAGUGAAAAGAAAAACAAAAAACCAACAAAAUAAGAAAGGGUUAGAGAGAGAGAGAGAGAACGUAGAGGGUGUUUUAAAAAGAUAAAACAAAAAGGGUUUUGUUUUGGAGACACUCAGCUGAAAAACCGGAAUAGUUGGUGUGCCUUUCGGUGGUAUCUCCAAGCCAUUGGAAGACCAAUUUUUUUUGGCCUUUUUGAGGUGGGAAAGAGAUGAUCUUGUUGGUGCUUAUGAGGCACUCAGCAAAUUGCCCAUUUUCAGUAUUUGCAUAAACAUAUACUGUGGCUAUGUUCUUACCUUUGAUUCAUACAUAGAAGGGAAGGACAUUGCUUCGCAACAAUGAAUGCUAAGAUGGUGGCCUUGUAUGGUGAAUCAUUCGACCGUGAGAGAAUGGAAAACAAGCACAAAUUGAUUAGAAAAAUGUACUCUGAGCUGAAGAAAAUGAUCCGGUCAACUGGCUUUGGAAGGGAUCCACUGAGAGGUAUGGUGACGGCAGAGAAUGAACUUUAGGAUCAAUAUAUAAAGGAUUACCCAUGGGCUGGCAAGUUUAGAGGUAAGAGUGCUCAUGAUGUUAACGAGCUGGACAAAAUAUUUGGAGACAUUGUUAUUGAUGGGAGGCAUUGUGAGACUUUGGUUGACAGAGGCACCGAUGAUAAUGCACCUCCCUAUGAAUUGAAUGAUUCACUAAUAGAGUCUCCUCACUUAGAUACUAGUGAUGAGGAUAACGAUAUAUCCACCCCAAGCAAUGCUCGUAGAACAUCAUCGAGGCAAUAUAAGAGGCCCCGCCCUUAUACUCCCUCUGAGGUGUCUCAAAAGAAAAGGCAAAGCACUCUUACUGAACAAGUGGCUCAAGUUUAACUAAAUUGAUGGAAACUAUGACAGAGAUGAUGAGUCUCCGAGCUCCCAUUCGACCUGAGAUAAAGAUGAAGAAAUGCAUGGAUAUUGUUGACGAGCUAUAUGAGAAAGGGGAGGUAGGCUUAGAAGCCAUCUUGAAGGCUACCAGUAUUUUCCAAAGUACAUCUAAAGUUCAUAUGUUCCUAGCCUUGCCGUCUGAGUGCCGAGGGGCGUUUUAAGAGGAGGAGAUGAAACAAAUGGCAAAUUAAUAUUUUGGUGUGAAGUUUUUUUUUGGGUUUAUUUUAUUUUAUUUUAUUUGGACUCAUAAAAGUUUACUUUUGGCAGUCUAAGCACUCAUUUUUUUUUUGUCUUGACCUAUAUAUGAAUGGAUGAACGAACUUCAUGCCUUGGAGUAGUUUUCCUAUUGAUGUAACGAGACCUUCUUCUUUUAAUGAAAAUACUUAACGUUAUGCUUA
Molecule: non-coding RNA, 7333 nt
Organism: Amborella trichopoda
Lineage: Eukaryota; Viridiplantae; Streptophyta; Magnoliopsida; Amborellales; Amborellaceae
Source: RefSeq, a predicted model, not a curated record